UUGUCAUUACCAAGGCUUUUCGAAUGCAGUUUCUCAUUUGCCAUGGGCAUGACCACAAAACAUUUUCCCAGUAGGUUUUCCUUCUGCUAUGUUGGUAGCAUUCAGCCUAUUGGGAACAUUU
Small nucleolar RNA from Myotis lucifugus (little brown bat), 121 nucleotides. Ensembl annotates it as small nucleolar RNA SNORA32. The record is from Ensembl. Lineage: Eukaryota; Metazoa; Chordata; Mammalia; Chiroptera; Vespertilionidae.